GGACUACUAGGGUAUCUAAUCCCUUUCGCUCCCCUGGCUUUCGUUCCUUAGCGUCAGUUAUGGCCCAGUAUCGCGCUUUCGCCGCCGGUGUUCCUCCUGAUAUCUACGCAUUUCACCGCUACACCAGGAAUUCCCGAUACCUCUACCACACUCUAGCCAUCCAGUUUCCAAUGCCAUGCCGAAGUUGAGCUUCGGGCUUUAACACCAGACUUAGAUAACCGCCUACGAACUCUUUACGCCCAAUAAUUCCGGACAACGCUUGCAUCCUACGUCUUACCGCGGCUGCUGGCAC
Molecule: ribosomal RNA, 292 nt
Filed under: uncultured bacterium
Lineage: Bacteria
Description: partial 16S ribosomal RNA
Source: RNAcentral